UCUGACCUCUCUUCACACCCUCAAACGGCACGCACUUCAAGGAUCUGUCUUCGUUUACUUGCUCAACCUUCACGAACUUUUCGCACUUCCCUUCUCCUCUCAGACUUUCUUUACUUUGUUUUUCUUUUCUCUCACAUUUUCCUUCAUUUUCUCUUCAUCCAAACAUGAACUCUUCUUCAACCUUAUUAACUAAUAUUUCGUUUUCUUGCUUUGCAAGUCAAUUCAAAGAGCUUAGUACCAAUCGUGGAAAUUUGAUUCAACUAAGGCUUAAAAAGAACAGUGAAGCGAAAUUUUUUGUUAAAUGCAAUCAAGUCUCCGAUUCGGUUCUCUAUUCCUCUCCGCCGCAGAGAUUCAACCUUCCAAGACCUAAUUUAUCGGUUUCCCGCGCGGGGAUGACAUACGAGGUGGUUGUUGAAAAGCUUAAGAGGCUUGUUUUGGAAUUUGAGUCUCUAACGGAGCCGAUAGAUCGAGUUAAGCGGCUACUGCACUACGCAGCGACGUUGCCUAGGUUCGACGAGUCGGCUAUGGUGGAGGCAAAUCGAGUCACGGGGUGUACGACUCAGGUGUGGCUGGAGGGGAGAUUGGACGAGUGCGGGAGAGUGAGGUUUUGCGCGGACAGCGAUUCAGAGAUUACGAAAGGGUUCAUUUCAUGUCUGAUUUGGAUAUUGGACGGUGCGGAGCCGGAAGAGGUGUUGAUGGUGAAGGCGGAGGAUUUGGGUGCUAUGAAUGUGGGACUCCACGGGAAGGCCCAAUCGAGGGUGAACACGUGGCGCAAUGUGUUGAUUAGUAUGCAGAAGAGGACUAUGGUUUUGGUAGCCAAGAAGGAGAUAGAGUCGCGGACUUCCGUCUCUUGUUGUUAUCGCUGACGAUAUUUGGUGCUGAUGGAAGAUUCGUUGAGAUACAGGAGUCAAGAAUAUGGCAAAAGCUCGAUGCCAAUUUAUCACGGUCCUAGCCAUGGAAAUAGAAUCUAGCCUCACAAAGGUUCUUUCUGGGAUUCAUAUUUAUGUAACGGGCUUGAUUGGUUGCAAACAUAGAACAUUUAUGCAGCUGCCAUUUGCAAACGAAGAUUACCUCUGAACAAGAGAUCGUCAGAGAUGCGUUCAAGCACACAAUAAUGAUGAAAUAUGAUUGCAACAUAUAUACUUCGAACAAUUGUUGUAUAGAUUGAAAGAUGCAUGCCUAUCAAUGUAAGAAUGUAUAAUUGCUCAUUAAUUCCUCUCCCUAGCGGUGUAAUACCCAGGCAGAAUUAUUUGACUCCUAGAUCAUGAAACUUCAUAUGAGAUUGUAAAAUAGUUGAAUGAUUGUUCCUGUUAA
Molecule: RNA transcript, 1314 nt
Organism: Tripterygium wilfordii
Lineage: Eukaryota; Viridiplantae; Streptophyta; Magnoliopsida; Celastrales; Celastraceae
Gene name: sufE-like protein 2, chloroplastic
Exons: 3
Source: RefSeq, a predicted model, not a curated record